UAGUACCUGUGAAGAUGCAGGUUACCCGCGACUAGACGGAAAGACCCCAUGGAGCUUCACUGCAGGUUGAUAUUGGGAUUUGAUGCAGCAUGUACAGGAUAGGUAGGAGGCAAAGAGAUGGAUACGCCAGUAUUCAAGGAGCCGCUGUUGGGAUACUACCCCUGUUGUAUUGGAUUUCUAACCGGACGACGUAGAGCCGUUGACGGGACAGUGUCAGUCGGGCAGUUUGACUGGGGCGGUCGCCUCCCAAAGAGUAACGGAGGCGCCCAAAGAUACCCUCAGCUUGGAUGGAAACCAAGCGCAGAGUGCAAAGGCAAAAGGGUGUUUGACUGCGAGACCACAAGUCGAGCAGGGACGAAAGUCGGGCUUAGUGAUCCGGCGGUGCUGAAUGGAAAGGCCGUCGCUCAACGGAUAAAAGCUACCCUGGGGAUAACAGGCUGAUCUCCCCCAAGAGUUCACAUCGACGGGGAGGUUUGGCACCUCGAUGUCGGCUCAUCGCAUCCUGGAGCUGAAGUCGGUUCCAAGGGUUGGGCUGUUCGCCCAUUAAAGCGGUACGCGAGCUGGGUUCAGAACGUCGUGAGACAGUUCGGUCCCUAUCUGUCGUGGGCGCAGGAAAUUUGAGAAGAGCUGUCCUCAGUACGAGAGGACCGGGAUGGACGCAUCAAUGGUGGACCAGUUGUCACGCCAGUGGCAUAGCUGGGUAGCUAAAUGCGGAAGGGAUAAACGCUGAAGGCAUCUAAGUGUGAAACCCACUUCAAGAUGAGAUUUCCCAUUGCGCAAGCAAGUAAGACCCCUUAAA
RNAcentral lists this ribosomal RNA (799 nucleotides) under human gut metagenome. RNAcentral's name for it is "bacterial LSU rRNA". It matches the Rfam family "Bacterial large subunit ribosomal RNA", at positions 2045 to 2842 of the family's 2925-position model. The record is from RNAcentral.